Molecule: long non-coding RNA, 203 nt
Filed under: Vigna radiata
Lineage: Eukaryota; Viridiplantae; Streptophyta; Magnoliopsida; Fabales; Fabaceae
Description: long non-coding RNA (VRAD_LNC012229)
Source: RNAcentral
UGCUGACUACGACAUUGAUAUUAUAUGACCAUCCACUUUAAAAUGUUCUAUUUUUAGAGUUAAUUCAAUUUUUAAUGUUAUUUAUUUUAUUAGUUCCAUUUCACUGUUAAUAAAUAAUUCCUUUUAAUUCUUAUUUUCAAAAUUUACUUGACUUUAUCCCUCGUUCAAAUUGAUUUAAUAAUAAUAUUAAAAUUUAUAAUUUG